CCUACGGGAGGCAGCAGUCGGGAAUAUUGCGCAAUGGGGGCAACUCUGACGCAGUGACGCCGCGUGCAGGAAGAAUGUUUUCGGAUUGUAAAAUGCUUUAGAUCAGGAAGAAAAAAGACAGUACCUGUAGAAUCAGCUCCGGCUAACUACGUGCCAGCCGCCGAGGUAAUACGUAGGGAGCAAGCGUUAUCCGGAUUUAUUGGGUUUAAAGGGUGCGUAGGCUGUGAGGUAAGUCAGCGGGGAAAUGCCCCCGCUCAAAGGGGUGAAGUGCCAUUGAUACUGGCUUGCUGGAGUGUAGAUGAGGUGGGAGGAAUGUGUGGUGUAGCGGUGAAAUGCAUAGAUAUCACGCAGAACACCGAUUGCGAAGGCAGCUUACGAAUCCGCGAUUGACGCUGAUGCACGAAAGCGUGGGUAUCAAACAGGAUUAGAUACCCCAGUAGUC
RNAcentral lists this ribosomal RNA (442 nucleotides) under uncultured bacterium. RNAcentral's name for it is "partial 16S ribosomal RNA". It matches the Rfam family "Bacterial small subunit ribosomal RNA", at positions 338 to 795 of the family's 1533-position model. The record is from RNAcentral.